UCUUUAUGGCAAAUGUGAGAUGCAGUGUAUGGAAUGUCAAAUUUCUAGUAUGAGAAAUUAACGAUUUAAGUCCUUCUUAAAUGAGGCCAUUUACCCAUAGAGGGUGCCAGGCCCGUAUAACGUUAAUGAUUACUAGAUGGCAUUUCCAAAGAGUCGUGUUGCUUGAUAGUGCAGCACUAAGUGGGUGGUAAACUCCAUCUAAAACUAAAUAUAACCAUGAGACCGAUAGUAAACAAGUACCGUGAGGGAAAGUUGAAAAGAACUCUGAAUAGAGAGUUAAAUAGUACGUGAAACUGCUUAGAGGUUAAGCCCGAUGAACCUGAAUAUCCAUUAUAGAAAAUUCAUCAUUAUGAUUUUAAUAUUUAUAAUAUUAUAAUAAUGGUGUGCAUUUUUUCUAUAACGGACAUUGUAAUCUAUUAACAUAAAUAUAUUUAUCAUAAGAUCAAUGAUGCGUAAGUUUAUUCAAAUUAUUUUGCUUGCAAUUUAACAUAGAAUAAAUGCUCUUGAUUUGAUAAAGUGUUGAUAGAUUUAUUGUAUAUAGUGCUUAAAUAUUUAUAUUUUAUAAUAGCAUAUUAAUCAUUGAUUUUUAUGUUUAUUAUAUGCACUUAUAUGAUUAACAAUGCGAAAGAUUCAGGAUACCUUCGGGACCCGUCUUGAAACACGGACCAAGGAGUCUAACAUAUUUGCAAGUUAUUGGGUAUCAAAACCUAAUAGCGAAAUUAACAUAACUUUAAUGGGAUUAGUUUUUAGAUUAUUUAUAGUCUAUUAAUUCAAUCCCGGGGCGUUCUAUAUAGUUAUGUAUAAUAAUAUUUAUAUUAUUUAUACCUCUAACUAGAGCGUACCUUGAGCAUAUAUGCUGUGACCCGAAAGAUGGUGAACUAUACUUGAUCAGGUUGAAGUCAGGGGAAACCCUGAUGGAAGACCGAAACAGUUCUGACGUGCAAAUCGAUGUCAGAA
This 957-nucleotide ribosomal RNA is filed under the name Sarcophaga pennopluma. Its description in RNAcentral is "eukaryotic LSU rRNA". It matches the Rfam family "Eukaryotic large subunit ribosomal RNA", at positions 124 to 910 of the family's 3401-position model. The record is from RNAcentral. Lineage: Eukaryota; Metazoa; Arthropoda; Insecta; Diptera; Sarcophagidae.